This 498-nucleotide ribosomal RNA is filed under the name uncultured bacterium. RNAcentral's name for it is "partial 16S ribosomal RNA". It matches the Rfam family "Bacterial small subunit ribosomal RNA", at positions 28 to 506 of the family's 1533-position model. The record is from RNAcentral.
GACGAACGCUGGCGGCGUGCCUAAUACAUGCAAGUCGAGCGAAGUUUUUCUGGUGCUUGCACUAGAAAAACUUAGCGGCGAACGGGUGAGUAACACGUAAAGAACCUGCCUCAUAGACUGGGACAACUAUUGGAAACGAUAGCUAAUACCGGAUAACAGUAUUUCUCGCAUGAGAGAUAUUUAAAAGUUGGUUAUGCUAACACUAUGAGAUGGCUUUGCGGUGCAUUAGCUAGUUGGUGGGGUAAAGGCCCACCAAGGCGACGAUGCAUAGCCGACCUGAGAGGGUGAUCGGCCACACUGGGACUGAGACACGGCCCAGACUCCUACGGGAGGCAGCAGUAGGGAAUCUUCCGCAAUGGGCGAAAGCCUGACGGAGCAACGCCGCGUGAGUGAAGAAGGAUUUCGGUUCGUAAAGCUCUGUUGUUAGGGAAGAAUGGAUAUGUAGUAACUAUACAUGUAAGAGACGGUACCUAACCAGAAAGCCACGGCUAACUACGG